CAGCAACUCAGGAGGCCGAGGCAAGAGGAUUGCAAGUUUGAGGCCAGCCUUAGCAACUUAGCAAGACCCUCUCUCUAACUGAAAAAAUAAAAAGUGCUAGGGAUGUGGCUCACUAGUUAAGCACUACUGGGUUCAAUCCAAGAACUGCCCCCCCCAAAAAAAAAAUUACUGAAAGUAGUUAUUCUGUGUAUUUUCUCUUCUUGCUCAGUCUAUAAUUCUCUUUUGGUGUAGUUCACAUACCUGCCCUUUGUGAUAUUGCCACAAAUACUUUGUCUGGGUUUACUGCUCACUUGGCAUUUGUUUAGUCCUAAUGACCAGGAAAAUGUAAGAGAACCAUGACAACCAUUUUCACUCUUUUCUGAGUUUGACCUUGAUUGUAGCAUGAGCUAGCUGUCCCUGAUACUGUGGAAUACAGGGAAAGUCUUUCUCAUUUUUCUGCUGAAGUUCCCAGAAUGAGGUUUCUUAAUGGGCUUACAGAGGCCGGAGGAGAACCUGACUAGUUGAGGUGACACAAUCUAGUGCUUUCUCCGCACAGGCCUGCAGAGAUUUCCUCAUGUUAGCCCAGACCCACAGUAAAAAGUGGCAGAAGUCACUGCAGUAUGAAAGAGACCAGCGUAUCCGACUGGAAGAAACCCUUGAGCAGCUGGCAAAGCAGCACAACCACCUGGAGAGGGCCUUCCGGGGAGCCACAGUGCUGCCUGCAAACACUCCUGGCAGCGCAGGAUCUGGUAAAGGUAAGACGCUUUGUUCUUGCAUAGCCUGUUCAGAUUUGAGCCAGGUGAUUUUCUGCAAUUGAUAGAAGAGCUCCAAAUUCUCCACAAUUAAUGACUUAUCUGAAGUGGCUUUGGAGCUGUUCAUUUCUUCUGGCUUUUCCACUACUUUACCAUUUGUUGCUAUGUUUGUGGUUGGUACUGAGAAGAACUGCGGUACCAGGCAUUUGAUAAAUAUAACCAGAGAAAACAAAGAAGGCCUUCUCCUCGUAGAUCAGUGCUGCUCUGGGAAAGGAGACAUGAGUGAUGAAGAUGAUGAGAAUGAAUUUUUUGAUGCACCAGAGAUCAUCACCAUGCCUGAGAAUUUGGGCCACAAGUAAGUUAUCCUUUACUGUCAUACCUGAUCAUCAAGAGGUUAGAAACAUUGUUCAAUGUGGGAAUGUUAUAGUUGUCGACAUUUAGUAAAAUCUGGGCUCUUUUCUUUAAGUAAGUGGAAAACUGUCAGCUUUUUACAUGAUGAGUUCUCCAGAGGCAUUUACAGUCAUAUCUAUUUACACCUUUUGAUUAGCCAUCAAUAAGUUUGUGCAGCAUACUUGACAUUCUGCUUUGUAAAAAAAAAAAAAUUGAGGCCCAAACUCUAGUUGUGCUCUUUGUUCUAAAUCUCCUGUGUUCCCCUCUAUGCAGACGCACUGGCAGCAAUAUCAGUGGGGCCAGCAGUGACAUUAGCCUUGAUGAACAGGUAACUCCUAUGUGGAGGGCAUCAAAGGUGAAGGAUUUGGGCUAUGAGUCCCAUGGAUUUGUUUGUAAAGUGCUAAGAAAGAAAGAAAAAUCCUGAUUUUUUUUUAUUUUAAGUAUGGGGGAAGGGAAGAUUAGCAAUAGCAGAUUUUCUGUUCUUUGUGGAUGAUUGAAUGGCUUUAUUCUUGCUCUCAGUACAAGCAUCAGCUGGAAGAGACGAAGAAGGAAAAGAGAACUAGAAUACCAUACAAGCCAAACUAUAGCCUCAACUUAUGGAGCAUCAUGAAGAACUGCAUUGGAAAAGAACUCUCCAAGAUCCCCAUGCCGGUGAGGUCCUUGCACAUCCUAACUGCUGCCAGUAGGUCCUCUCAGCCUCAGGCAAAAGAAUGCUGAUGUGACAGCCCUCCCCUCCCAAACGUGUGGCAGUUUUGAGCAUAGCCUUUGUUACCCUUAUAGUCAUAAACUGUUCCUUUAAAUUAGCUGGCUGAGUUUUGGCUCUGAAUCUGGUAUGUUCCCAGAUCACCUAGAACCAGAUGCACACGUUCAGUAACUUUUAUGAGCAAAUUCCUAUGCUCUGUGCUUGGGGGCAUGCAAAAAUAAAUACAGCCUUAUUUCUGUUUUUAAGAACCACAUAAUUUAAAAGAGACAUGAAAACAGGUUAAAAAUGAUAUUAUUUUAUUUUUUAUCAUAGUGUAAUGGGAAAUACUAUAUAUACAAAGGUUUAGGGAGCAUAGAAGCAAAAACCAUUCCAACCAGGAAGGUGAAAAUUAUUGGUGAAGAUGGGGUUUUUAAUGACCUCCCUGUCAGUGAUCAUUCAUUUUUCCAGUCUGUCCACUAUUGCCAAAGUGAUUUUUUUUUAAACUGCAAGCAUGGUUGUGUUAGUCUUCAAUUUAAAAUCCUGGAUCUUUAUUGCUCUGGACAUAGUUCAGAUUCUUUAUUGGACUCACCACUUCUUCCCCAGGGGCAAGGUCAUCAUAUAUGUGUGAUGGUAUAGUCAUCAGAUUAGCCUCAGAUACUCAGAGUUAUCUUGUUUAUUCCUCAGAGCAUUUAUACACACUGAUCUUUCUGCCUGAACUUUGAAUUUUCCACCAACCCUUGGUAGUUUUCUUUUGCUGUGGCUAAAACUCUUUCCUUUGGAUUUCAGUAUAAUGACAUCUCUUUCAGUAAACCUCCAGUGCAUCCAGUCAGGAGAGAUCUGUCUUCUCUCCUGUGUCCCAACAGGUUCCACCGAUUGUGUCUGGGCCACGUGUUUCUUUUACUUAUUCAUUCAACAAUCAUUUACUAAGUGUCUUCUAUUUGCCUGGUAUUGUACUAGUAUAACAGCUGGGAAUAAUCAAUUUAAAGCAGUAAAUCCAAAUGUAUUGGUUUAAAUUAGGGGGUCAACAAGCUAGGGUCUGUGGGCCAAAUCUGGCUGCUAUCUAUGUUGUCCACAAGCCAAACAUAGCUUUUAUAUUUUUAAAUGGUUGGAAAAAAAUAAAUAAAAAGGAGACUAAUUGUCCAUAGUGUUUGUGUCCAUAAAGUUUUACUAGAACACAAAGAUAUUCAUUUAUGUCUUAUCUGUGGCUGCUUUCAUGCUGCAAAGCAGCAUUGAGUAGUUGUGACAUAGACCACAUAUCCCGGAAAGCCUAACUAUUUACUAUCUAGCUCUUUACAGAAAAAGCUGGCAACUCCUGUCUUAAACAAAUAUUGGCCUCACUCAUUUGUGUUAAAGUCCAGAAGCAAAUGGUCCAGUUCUAGUAUCAUACUCCAUGGUGUCAGGACCAGACUGCUUUCUCUCCUGUUUCUCUGUGUCUGUGGUCUUAGUUCUUAGGUUCAUAGUGGCCUCUCCAGUUUGAACCAUCGGGAUCACAUUCCAGUCAACCCUUUUAAGGGUUGUUUCCUGGAAAUUGCAUAAUCCAUUAAUCUCUUAAAUCUCUGUGGCCAGGACUUAGCUAUAUGACCAUAGUUAGCUAUAGAAAAGGCUAGAAAUGAAGACUUGGGGGUACAGAGGGCCAAAAACUUGGCAGACAGAAUUACAGAAAGUAUUCUCUCUACCUCUCUGGGUGCAGAGAACAGUGUAUGAUUUCUGUCUCUUCAUAUACUAUGUUCCUAUGGAGAGAAACUAUGUCUAAUUGGACUCUAUAUCUUUAAUGCUUAGUCCAGAGCCUGGCAUAUACAGAUCAUUCAACAAAUUGUUGAACUAAUUAAUCAACAAAUCUUGAAAAGCAAAUAGUUUAUUUGUAAGUCUGUAUGAUUUAAAAAUGUAUUUAUCAACUACAGUCGAGGAUAUAUAACUCAGAGGUAGAGUGAAGCCCUGGUUUGAUUCCCAGCAUUGGGAAAAAAAGAAAAGGCUUAGAAAAGAAAAGAAAAGGCCCUGAGUAAGCAGGCACAUUGGAGAAACUGAGAUAAUGGGUGUUUUGGGGACCUGAAGAGAAACCCCACUUGCCUGGAACAUUAGGUGUCUAGAAGUAGUGGGCAGGUGGGCUGGAAAGACAGUUUGUCAUGGUCUGAGAAGUGCACUUCUGCUUAAAAACAAUUCUAGGUCUAGGUGACCUCUCUAUUCACCUUUACCCUUAGUUCCUUAUUGACUUUGCCACUAGGAAUGUGCAGUUCUGUACCUGUUGGCCUGCAAAUCAAGUGCUCACCCUUCCCCUGCCCUAUACUGGGUCACAGGAAAGCUGAUCAUCUGAGGCUGUUUUUCAAGCUUCUGUGUCUUGUGUCUGCUGGAGUCUGGCUGGACUCUACUAGGGCAAAAUACCAGGAGAUGAGAGCUUGGAAGAGGGUAUUUCUCUCCUUUUAGGCAGUUUUCUGGCAGCAUCUGGACAGGUCUCCUCAGCCCCCCUCAAGGUUUUAGCCACUGCCAGUUCCCCUUGGCCUCUGGCUAUAGUAAUAACACUGCUUUUUUCUGUUCCUUCAUUAUGGCUUCCUGGUGUUGCUCAUCUCAGGAUUGUCUUCUCUAGCUGCCUGCUGGCUAUAUAAUCAACUCUUCUUUCUUUCAUUUCAAACUCUCAGAUUCAUUAGUUUUCCUAUUUGACCUCAGAGUGAUAAAAUGAUCAUUAUAAACAAUUUAGCACUUUUAGAGCAACUGUGGUUCCUGGAACAGUUGUUGGAAAGCAGGGUCAUGUGUGCAUGGAAAGCAGUGACAGACUUAGGAUGAACUGAUUCUAGUCCUAGGCACAGUGGAUGUGUCUAGUAGCCACCAGAGGAGUACACUCUUUUCCCCCAAAAUAUGGAAAUGUUGCUUCAUGUUGCCUGAAAUUUUGCCACUGAGAGAUUUUGUUGGCAUGGUUAUUAAACUAUGGAAUUUUUCUGAAAGAUUGCUGAGGAUUAGGUCUUUAUCAGUCAUCUUUAUCAGGCACCAUCAUAAGCACUUUACAUCUAAAAAUACAGCUGUCUGGCCUCAGAAGUAGUCUGUCCUGGCCUGAUGUAGAAUUGAACUGAGACUUAGCAAUUGUCUAGUCCAGGGUAGAAGCUAACUUUUGUAAUGCGAUCUUUUCAAUAGUCUGGAAGUGCCUGUAUUUGAAUACCUUUUCUUUUCUCCCUCAAGAACUUUAAGUAUCUGACUUCCUCUUUGGUUAUAUUUGUGCUACAACUUAGUAUAUUUUAAAAUUCAUUCAUUCAGGGGCUAGGCUGUGGCUCAGCGGUAGCACACUUGCCUGGCAUGUGUGAGGCACUGGGUUUGAUUCUCAGUACCACGUAUAAAUAAAGGUCUAUCAACAACUAAAAAAAAAAAUAUUAAAAAAAUUCAUUCAUUCAAAACUUAAAUUUGUUAUUGGUCUCCUAUGUCCAUGUACUGAUGGCUUUUGGUUAGGUAGUAAUGGACAGAACAGGCAAGGUUUCCAUCUCCAAAAGCUUACUGUUAGUGAAAUGGAUGAAAAUGAUGAUUUCUGCCGCUCUCUGACAUGAGCAGAUACCAAGGAAAAUGGGUUGCCUUUGGGUUAAGUCUUUUUUCUUUUCAUUAUUUGUCUUAUCACCUCAACAUCUCAGGAUCAGUUUAUCCCCUGCAAAAAAAUGUAACUCUCUUAAAAAUGUCUGGACAAGGUUUUUAUAUGUGUUCUUUUCCUUACAGGUGAACUUUAAUGAGCCCUUGUCCAUGCUUCAGCGCCUUACUGAAGAUCUGGAAUACCAUGAGCUGUUAGACCGAGCUGCAAAAUGUGAGAACUCUCUAGAACAGCUCUGUUAUGUUGCAGCUUUUACCGUGUCCUCCUACUCCACUACUGUCUUCCGUACCAGCAAGCCAUUCAACCCACUCCUUGGGGAGACCUUUGAGCUGGACCGACUAGAGGAAAAUGGGUACCGAUCCCUCUGUGAACAGGUCAGGAGCCUCAGCACCUUGACACAUUUCCUUCUGAAGAAAAGGAUGAUUCUUUGAACCCCUGCGUGCUGUUUGUAGAAAUGUCAGUCCCUGUCAUCUUACCCUUCUUUUCCUUCAAAAUUAAACACUGAAGCCCUGGUAUUCACUUACUAUUGUGGGUAUAAAAAUAUCAAGGAUGAAUUUUGUGUGUUUAUCACCAAUUACUAGGCCAUAUCUUUUCCUUCUUUCUGCCUUGCUAAUUUGAACCUCAUUUCUUUAAGGUGAGUCAUCAUCCCCCAGCUGCUGCACACCAUGCGGAGUCCAAAAAUGGCUGGACACUGCGUCAGGAAAUCAAAAUCACCAGCAAGUUUCGAGGCAAAUACCUCUCCAUUAUGCCCCUCGGUAAGGCCGCAUCUUUAUAAGAAUUAAUGCUUUAGGAAUAAAAGUUUUUCUGGCAUGAUGAAGGAGGUCAUCAGCAGACAGAAGAAUCUCUGAUUCAGACACCAAAUUUCACUAACUAGCUUUAGUCAGGUUAUUUACCUUCUUUGCUCUUUGCUAUCAAAAAAGUGAGAAGGCCAGAAUCUCUUUAAGGACCCAGCUCUACAUAAAUUCUUUGUCUUCUUAACCAUAUUGAACGCAUCUUUAGCACAAUUUUAGAACAUAAAUUCUAGCAUGACUUUAAAAAAAAAAAUUCUAUCGCUUAACUGUGUUGUUUCCCUGAUUACUGUAGCAAUCCAGUUCUCUCUAAAAAUCAGGACCCUUAUGAUCACAAGGUUAGGUUUCUUGGCUAGCCUCUCCCCUUCCUUCUCUCCUUCCACCCCCUCUCUUUCUCUACCUGAUGAAUUAGGUAUCAGUUAUGUAAUCACUAAAUUCCAAGUAAGGUGAAACUUUAUUUUUAAAAAAAAUCUUACUGAAUUACAAGUUAAUUUUGUGUCAAGAUCCGAAAGUUCAGGUCAGGCCUGGUGGCACACAGUUGUAAUCCCAGCUACUCAGGAGGCUGAGAAAGGAGGAUCACAAGUUCUGGGCCAAACUUACUAAGACUUUGUCUUAAAAUUUUUAAAGUGUUAGAGAUGUACCUCAGUAGUAGAGUGCCCUGAGUUCAAUCCCUAGUACCCCCAUCCCUCAUCCCUCCCCCAAUCAAAAAAAAAGUCCUAGGAAUAGGAAUCCUAGUAUAUAUACACUGUUAGAAUGAUAUGCAAAAUCUUUUCACCUAUAGAGAUCCAUUACCUUUCCUUAACUUUGUGCUCUUAUUUUCAUAUAGAUAAUAAUUUUUAUACAUUUUAAUCUUAUCAGUGUAGUUUUAUAAUAGUUUUAUGUUUCUUUAUGCCUUUAAAUCUCAUAGGAGAAAGAAAAAAGCAGUUGCAAGUAAAAACUACCCUUAUACUAUCUUUUAUAUAGUUUAACUGUAGUUACCUUUACUGGUCUUUUAUUUCUUUUUCUCAGUUGUAGAUGGAUACAAUAUCUUUAUUUUAUUUAUUUAUUUUUAUGUGGUGCUGAGGAUCAAUCCAGUGUCUCACCCAUGCAAAGAAAAUGCUGUACCACUGAGCUACAACCCCAGCCCUGGUCUUUCAUUUCUUAAUGUAGAUUUAAGUUAGUAUCCUUUCAUUUUAGUGUAAAGGACUUCUUAUAGUAUUUCUUGUAAGACAGAUCUGCUAGUUAUGAACUCCUGCAGGUUUUGUUGAUCUGGGAACUUCUUAAGUUCUCUUCUGUCUAUGUAGGAUAGUUUUACUAGACAUAGAAUUAAUUCCUUUUCAGCUUUGAAUAUUUCAUUCCACUGCCUUGUGGUCUCUGUAGUUUCUCCUCCCACCCCUACCACUCCUCAGUUUUUUUUCUUGCAGGGUAAUACACAUUAAAUAAAAUUUGGUAUCUUAACCAUUUUAACUGUACAGUUUGGUGUCAUUAAAUAUAUUCUUAAUGUUGUCUAUCCAUCACUACCAUCCAACUCCAGGACUCUUUAUUUUGUAAAACUAAGACUGUAUACCCAUUACACAGUAACUACCCAUUCUUCCUCCCCCUAGACCCUGGAAAACACUGUUAUAUUUUCCAUUUCUAUGAUUUUGACCGUUCUCAUAUAAAUGGAAUUAUAUAGUAUUUGUCUUUUUGUGACUUAUUUAUUCGCAUAAUAUCUUCAGGGUACAUCUGUAAUAUAGCAAAUGGCAGAAUUUCUUUCCUUUUUAAAGCUUAAUAUUCAAUUGUACAUAUAGAUCACAUUUUUCUUAUACUUGAAUCUGUUGGUGAACACUUACUUGGGUUUUGGCUAUUAUAAAUAAUGCUGCUGGGCUGGGGAUGUGGCUCAAGUGGUAGCGCGCUCGCCUAGCAUGUGUGCGGCACUGGGUUCGAUUCUCAGAACCACGUAAAAAUAAAAUAAGAUAUUGUGUCCACCUAAAACUAAAAAAUAAAAAAUAUUUUUAAAAAAAGAAUUAUAAAUAAAUAAUGCUGCUAUGAACAUAGGUACAUAAAUAUCACUUUGAGAUCCUGCUUUCAAUCUUUGGAUUACAUUCUUAAAAGUAGAAUUGCUGGAUCAAAUGUCAAUUCUAUUUUUAUAGUUACAAUACCAUUUUAAAUUCCCAUCAAUAGUGUACACUCAUGCCAAUUACUCCAUAACCUUGCCACCAGUUAUUUAUUUCAUAUUAGUCAUCCUAAUGGGUGUAAGGUGGUAUCUCAUUGUGGUUUAGUUUUUUCUUUUUCUUCACUCUAUAGAUUUCAGGUUGUUUUUAUUCUUGUUAGCCUGGCAAAUAUGUAAAUGCUUUUGAUACAAAUUUAAAAGAGAAAUACUAAGUAAUAAAACAGUAUCUCCAGCAUGCCUAUAUAUUGCAUAUGUUCAUAGUAAAAGAUAUAUAGAAAUAUUAAACUUUAUGUAAACUGCAGUUCAUUUUUUUUUUUAUUUUAAUUGGUAUAUAUGACAUCAUAAUGUAUUUUGAUUCAUUGUCCACAAUUGCAGCACAACUUUUCAUUUCUCUGGUUGUAUUGUGGUUUGGUUUAAUAGAGAUGUUGAGUACCUUUUCAUGUGCUGACUAACCAUUUGUGUGUUUUGGAGAAAUGUCUAUUUAAGUCUUUUGCCCAUUUUUUUAAAAAAUUGUUUUCUUUGCCCAUUUUUUAAAUUGAGUUGUUAAUUUUUUUUUUGGGGGGGGGUUUAGAAGUUCUCUCUAUUCUGAAUACAAAUUCUGUAUCAGAAGUAUGAUUUGUAAAUAUUUUUUUCCAUACUGUGGCUUCUCUUUAGUUGAUAUCCUCUGAAGCACAACAUUUUUUAUUUAUAUUUUUUAGUUGUAGUUGUACAAAAUACCUUUAUUUCACUUAUUUAUUUUUAUGUGGUGCUGAGGAUUGAACCCAGGGUCUUGCACGUGCGAGGCAAGUGCUCUACCGCUGAGCCACAACCCCAGCCCCAGCAAACAUUGUUUGAAAAAAUUUAGCAAGUUCGUUUUUGUCUGUGUGUUUUAUUGUUGCUUGUGUCUUUAGUGUCAUUCAAGAAAUUAUUGCCUAUCCAAUGCCAUGAAGCUUUUGCCCUCUGUUUUAUUCUGAGUUUUAUAGUUUGAGGUCUUACAUGUAGGCUUUUGAUCCAUUUCAAGUAUGUGUGUGUGUGUGUGUGUGCGUGUGUGUAUAAAAUAUAUAUUUAUUUAUCUAUAUAUUUAAAGUAUUUAUUUAUUAUUAAGAAAAAGUUCAACUUCAUUCUUUAGCACAUUGGAUAUCUAGAUUUUUCCCAGGACUAUUUGUUAAAAAGAUUAUUCUUUCCCCCUUUCAAUGAUAUUGAUAUCCUAGUCAAAAAUUAUUUGAGUGAAUACACAAAGGUUUAUUUCUGGGCUUUCUUUAAUUCUGUUCCACAGGUUUAUUUGUCUCUCUUUAUGCCAGUACUACACAGUUUUGAUUAUGGUAGCUUUGCAAUAAGUUCAAACACAGGAAAUAUGAGUUUUCCAGCUUUUUUCUUUUUUUUUUUUCCUCUUUGUUAAGAUUAGUUUAGCUAUUCAGGAUUCCUUGAGAUUCCAUUUGAAGUUUAGGAUAUGUUUUUAGAGCCAGGCAUGGUGGUGCAUUCCUGUCCCAGUGACUCAGGAUACUGUUCUAGACCAGCCAUGGCAAUUUAGAAAGAUCCUGUCUCAAAAUAAAAAAUAAAAAUGUUUGGGGUUGUAACCAGUAGUAAAGUUUCACUGAAUUCAAUCCCCAGGAUGGGGACACACACACACAACACACACACACACAUACACACACACACACACAUAUAUAUUAUAUAUUAUAUAUAUAAAUGUAUAUAUAUUAUAUAUUUUUAUAGGGAUUGUAUUGAAUCUGUAGAUUACAUUGAAUAGUAUUGCUAUCUUAACAAUAUUGAGUCUUCCAAGCUAUGAUUAUGGAAUGUGCUUCCAUUUGUUUGUCGUCUUUAAUUUUUUUGAGCAAUGUUUUGUAGUUUUUACUUCAUUGAUUAAUUCCUAAGUAUUUUAUUUUUUGAUGCUAUUAUAAUUGAGUCCAUAAGAGUCUUUGAUAUUAUUCAUUAUUAGUAUAUAGAAAUGCAAUUGAUGGGCCAGGGUUGUGGCUCUGUGGUAAGAGUGCUCACCUAGCAUGUGUGAGGCCCUGGGUUUGUUCCUCAGCACCACAUAAAUAUAAAUAAAUAAAGUUAUUGUGUCCAUCUAUAACUAUAUAUAUAUAUAUAUAUAUAUAUAUAUAUAUAUAUAUAUAUAUAAACAAAAAAGAAAUACAAUUGAUUUGCAUGUGUUUACUGUGUAACCUUUUUCUUUGCUAAAUUAUUUACUAUUUCAAACAGUUAUUUUGUGUGUGUUUGUGGAAUCUUAGUAACUAUUUCUAUAUAUGAGAUCAUAUCAUUUGUUAAAGGAUAUAAUUUACCUCUUCCUCUCCACUUUGCCUUUUAUUUCUUUUUCCUAUGUAAGUGCUUUGGCUAGAACAACUGGUAUGUUGAGUAGAAGUGGUGAAAGCAGAUGUCUUUGCUUUGUUCCUAAUCAAAGGAAAAUCUUUCAGUGUUUUUCCAUUGGAUAUGCUAUUUUUCCUGGGGGUUUCGUAUUUGGCUUUUGUUAUAUUGAGGUACUUUUGUUUCAUUCCUAGUUUUUUGAAUGUUUUUAAUCAUAGAAAGUGUUGGAAGUUUGUCAAAUGCUUUUUCUGCAUCAAUUGAGAUUACCAUCUAGAUUCUUUUCCUUUCAUUCUGUUAAUGUGAUGCUAUUAUAUUGACUGAUUUUCAUGUGUUGAGCCAUCCUUGCGUUCCAGGAAUAAAUUCCCCUUGGUCAUGGCAUGUAAUCAUUUUAAUAUGCUGCUAAAUUUGGUUUCCUAGUAUUUUGUUGAGGAUUUUGCAUCAUUUUUCAUAAGGGACAUUGUUUUUCUUUUCUUGUGACAUCUUUGUCUGACUUUGGUAUCAGGAUAAUAGGGGCAUCAUAGAGUGAGGGAAUGAUCUAGAGAUUUUGGACAUAUAUAAGUAGAGCCAAUAUGGUGGAGGCUAAAUGAGAUAAUGUAUGAGGAGAGUAUAGCACAGAGUGGCUAUGCUGUCAGCAGGGUUGCUGCUGUUUCAUUCUCAUGAUGCUGUUGUCAUCCUCACUGGCCAACUACCAAGGCUACUUGAAUCUUUUGUACAAAAAAAGGGCUUGCCUAAACCACAAUUAACAUGUUGUUUUCAUUAGUGGUUACAGGGGGAGGUCAGGAAGUUGGGUUGAUAACAGAUGACUUAAGACCCCAACUCCCUAAUCACUUGGUUGAUCUUCCUGGCCUGGCUUGCCCUCAUCAGAGUUAUCUCAUUAGCAUUAGCUGUGUGGGGGCCAGCAUGAAUCACCUCAUUAGCAUAAACUAUCAUGUUUACAUAAACUAUCAUGUUUACAUAAACUAUCAUGUCCACUCCCAUCCUUUAAGAAGUUACAGGGGUUGAAAGAUUCCUUCCCAGGAAUAAUGAGUAAUAGAGCCAGGACUGAAUUCAGUUCUAAUUCCAAAGUCCUGCUGUAUCUACUCCUCCACUUUUAAUAUUCAGGCCCUUGAUAAAUGGUUCAUUUAAGGUCCACAGCCAGACUUGAAUCAGAGCCUGGCCCCCAAUACUGACAACCAAUGCAAUUUUCCCAUAGUAAAAUCCUCUUUUUUUUUUUCUUUCUUUCUUUUUUUUUUUUUUUUUUUUUUUUGGUCACAUUAUGGCGUAUUUGACUUGUUCCUGUAAAUUUUGCAGUUGGUACUGCAAAAUGUAGCUCCCUAGCUAAGAUGUAUUUGUUGUCAGUGUUUGUCAUCACUUACAUUUUAUCGUAUAUUUAAAAAUCAAGUGAAAAAGUUCAUUUCAAUCAAUGCUUCCAACAUUUAAGAAGGUUACAAGUCCUUUUUUGAUUAAUUGUUCUCUUUUUAAAGUAAGCCAUAUCAAUAGAAAGACAUCCAUCUAUUAUUAUUUCUAGUCUACAUGGUGUUGUUUUUCUAAUAUUUGGCUUAAUUUAUGUACUUCUUUCCUGUAGGUACCAUCCACUGUAUUUUCCAUGCAACUGGGCAUCACUACACUUGGAAAAAAGUUACUACAACAGUGCACAACAUUAUUGUGGGCAAGCUGUGGAUAGAUCAGGUGAGCAAAGGUACCCAGAAUACUUCUGAAGUAUAGAAGAACACUUAUUUAGGUUUAUCUCUGCAGUGUUUAGUUAAUGUUGUUUCUUUUUCUCUCCUGGUACUGGGGAUUGAAUCAAGGGGUGCUUAACCUCUGCACCACAUCCCCAGCCCUUUUUGUUUUUUUAUUUUGAGAUAGGGAUUUGGUAAGUUGUUUAGGGCCUUGCUAAGUUGCUGAGACUAGCCUCAAACAUUGAAUCCUCCUGCCUUAGCCUUCAAGCGACUGAGAUUACAUGUGUUUUAAUACUCAUUAAUGAUGACUAGAACUAUGUUGGGGACUAUGAAGGAUACAAGAAAAUAAUAAACAUAAUAAACAAUUUUAGUCCUUCCUUUAUUUAUGAAAUAUUUAUUGCCAAGCAGUAUGCUAGGUACUGGGGUUACAAAGUCAGAUGAGAUGAUCCUCUAGGAGUUACUGCAUCACUGAAGAUAUGUGACAAAGUAUAGAUUGAAAAAUAUGCAACAGAAUAACACAAGUACAAGUCGGAUUCUGGGGUACAUGCCUGCAAUCCCAGCUACUCAGGAGCCUAAGGCGGGAGGAUUGUAAGUUUGAGGCUGACCUUGGCAAAUUAGUGAGGAGCUGUCUCAAAAUAAGAUAUAAAAGGGUGAAGGGGAUGUACUUGGGUAGAAUGCUUCUCGGCACUGUAAAAACAAAACACUAGUACAAGAGGUGUACUAAGAUAAUAUUUAAUUAAUUGUUAGUUUGUUCUUAGAACAGUGGUUGUAGUAAAUCAGAAAAGAAGAAAUACUAUCUUCUGAGCAGUCAAGAAGGGCUUCACUUUCUGAGUGUGGUAGUGCACACCUGUAAACCCAGUUACUUGGGAGUCUGAAGCAGGAAGAUUACAAGUUCAAAGCCAUCCUCAGCAACUUAGUGAGGCUCUAAGUGACUUAGCAACACCUGUCUAAAAAUAAAAAGUAAUAAAAUAGGCUGGGGAUGUGGCUCAAUGUUUAAAUGCCCUUAGUUCAAUCCCUAGUAGCAAAAAAAAAACAGGGUGCAGGGGCUUCAUUGUACAUAUAAGAAUUAAGAUGACUCUUUCUAAAAGAUAGAAAGAAGGGAAAAAUUAAAUAAAGUUAGAAAAGCCUGCCAUAUAUAUAACCUUAAAACUAAGUAGAAAAAAAAAAAAAGUAGAGCGCUUGCUUUUUUUUUUUUUUUAGAGAGAGAGAGGAGAGAGAAUUUUUAAUAUUUAUUUUUUAGUUUUCGGCAGACACAACAUCUUUGUUUGUAUGUGGUGCUGAGGAUCGAACCUGGCCCCUGCCAGGCGAGCGCGCUACUGCUUGAGCCCCUAGAGCUCUUUGAUUUAAGCUGAAAAGCUUGCAAAGUGAAGGAAGUGAAGGAAGAAUUGGUUUGGAAAGAUAAAUUUUAUGUGAAUUUCAGUGUGUGUGCAGAAGGUCAAAUUAUGAUACCUAACAUGUAACACACAAAACAAAACAAAUGGUCACUUGGUCUUGAUCCCAAUCUGGAAUUACCAAGGCUACAAAGGGAUUCCAUAACAUCACCAAGUUUGGCUUAGAACUGAAUUUUAAGCAAAGAAGUGCUAGAAUUUAAGACUGAAGAAUAGAGAGAUCUGGAGUUGUGGCUUAAUGGUAGAGUGCUUGCCUGGCAGACAUGAGGCCCUGGGUUUGAUCCCUGGCACUGCAAAAAUAAUUAGCUGAUGAACUAAUUAUGGGUAGGGAUAUAGCUCAGUGGUGGAGAACUCGUCUAGCAUGUCUGAGGCCCUGGGUUUAAUCUUAACCCAGUACCACAAAAGAAAGAAUAAAGAAUUAUGAGAUAAGGGGUUUGGCAGAUAUUCAAGUUAUCCAGUCGUUAUUUAACUAAUUCAUGAUUCUUUUCAUUUUACAGUCUGGUGAAAUUGACAUUAUAAAUCACAAGACGGGAGACAAGUGUAAUCUUAAAUUUGUUCCUUAUAGCUACUUCUCUCGGGAUGUAGCAAGAAAGGUAAGGGAAAGUGGAAUUCAAUUUUUUUUUACUUAGAGAGCCUACUCCUGUGGAGCUGGUGUGGUGUGUGUGUGUGUGUGUGUGUGUUAAAAAUGGUGAUUCAAAAAAAGUAGAGGGCUGGGGCUAUAGCUCAGUGGCCAAGCACUUGCCUAGCUAAUGUGUGAGGCACUGGGUUCAAACCUUAGCACCAAAUAAAAAUAAAUAAAAUAAAGGCAUACUGUCCAUCUACAACUACAAAAAUGAAUGAAUGAAUGAAUGAAUAAAUAAAUAAAUAACUAGAGAUAAAGGAUAAAGCAGGAAAAGGGACUAUGUUUCAUUGAUGAACCAAUUUCUUCUCAGACCGGUGAGGAAGUAAAAGUCAAGAUCGAAGAGAGACUCAGAAUGGAAACACAAAGGAGGGACUAAUAAAAGAAUUAUAGGAAGAGAGUGUGGACAGUUUGACCCUUGAGAGUUUUAGGGGGAAUUUUGUGUUAACACCAUGGAGAAAUUGUGCUGUGAGUUUUUGUGAGAGAAUGAACAGUAGCUGGGGAUUUAUUUGUGAUUGUCUCUAUUUUCUCCAAAAUAUAAUUCUGACCACUAGUCAGAUACUUUUUCUACUUAUGAUUGCAUCAGAAAUCCCUCUAUAAAGUGAUAAUGAAACCCUAAGCCAUGGCUCAGUUAUUUCAAAAAUAAUAUAACAAAGUAAUCUGGAUGACUCCAUCAUGUUUGUUAUACCAGGACUUAACCAGUAUUUCCCUCUGACUUUGGUUUCUGGAUUAGUCAGUUAAGCUACCUCACAGUGAAUACUCUAUUCCAAAGCCCUGCUCUCCACCCUUGCAGGUGACAGGGGAAGUGACAGAUCCAUCGGGAAAAGUUCAUUUUGCCCUUGUGGGGACUUGGGAUGAGAAAAUGGAUUGUUUCAAAAUACAGCCGGCUGUUGGGGAAAAUGGGGGUGAUGCUCGCCAGAGAGUCCAUGAAGCAGAGGAAAGCAGGGUCAUGCUGUGGAAAAGGAAUCCUUUACCGUGAGUAUUAGUGUGCAAGCUGCCCAAGUACCACUUUAGCCUUGACUGUGAAGCAGUACUGAAGGUAUUUCUGCCUGCCUUCACUAUGUGAUUUGAGUUACAGCAUGCCUUGUCCCAAGAAAGUUCUAACUAACCAAAUCACAUCUGUGAAAAAAUGUUUGGCCUUCCCAAAGAGCCAUUGGAAUGCAAUUCACAAGGAUAUUUUCUACAAUUUAGAGCAGACUAUGUAGGAGCAGCUAGAGGAGAAAGGUGCUUACUACCUAUUAACAAUUUAGCCUAAAAUGCAGGAGCAAUAUAAAAAUCCCUAAGACAGUGCACAGGACUUUGGAACAAGGUGGAAGCCAUUUGUCUCCUAUCACCAUCUAAUCCAUUCAGUCUAUAGUAACAGCCAAGAUUAUCCCAGAAAGAGGUUAAAAGGGAAACAAAGGAAUGGAAAUGAGGAAUUUCAUUAAGUAGAAUAUUUCAUUCUUCCUAACAAAUGUAGAUCAUUUUAACUGAGAGCAGUGUAGUCCCAGAUGACUAUUGAAUUGAGUGAUGCUGGGGGUGGGGGGUGAGGACAGGAAUGAUCCAGUUUGGCUGUCUUCAUUAGGGGUUCCUGACAUGGUGCUAGAUUUUUUCCAUUUGUGGAUCAGCCUUUCUGCUCCUUCACUAAGUUCUGGGCUCUGGCGUUACCCUUCCUUUCUCUCAUUCUUUACCCUUAGGAAGAAUGCAGAAAAUAUGUACUACUUUUCAGAGCUGGCUCUGACUCUCAAUGCCUGGGAAGGUGGCACUGCACCCACAGACAGCCGGUUACGGCCUGACCAGAGACUGAUGGAAAAUGGGCGCUGGGAUGAAGCCAAUGCUGAAAAGCAGCGCCUGGAGGAAAAACAAAGACUUUCCCGAAAAAAGAGAGAAGCAGAAGCUAUGAAAGCCACAGAAGAUGGUAAUGAACUUGCCUUCUACUUACAUUUCUUGAUGCAUAGAGAGUGUCAGCUCAAUUUGUGCUUUUCUUUCUUUUAGGCACGCCAUAUGAUCCUUAUAAGGCACUGUGGUUUGAGCGGAAGAAGGACCCUGUGACCAAGGAGUUAACCCAUAUUUAUAGGGGUGAAUAUUGGGAGUGCAAAGAAAAGCAGGACUGGAACUCAUGCCCAGACAUUUUUUGAAGCACCAGUAACACAAAGGAAGCGGAUCAAAUGGAGAAGAGGACAGAGGAUGUGCAGGAAAGCUGGCAGUUGUGACUCUUACCAAGUGCUUUCCUCAAGUUUGUCUGUCUUAACCAAUCAUUUUUUCCAAAUCAAUCACCAGAAGCAGACACCAGUGGUGGUGAUUGGCUGGUUGCCUUAGCUGAUUGAUGCUGAAAUCGAUGUACUAGAUACCUUGUAAGGGAGAGGUUUAGUGGCUGAAAGUUAGUGUUAUUCCACUUCUACAAAGUCAAGUAUUCUUGGCUCUUCUUCCUCCCUCUGCCCCAUUUAAGGUGAUGUUAUUCACCCUCCCCAUGUAGUAUCCUGCUCAGCCAAGAUCUGCGUAAAAUUGUGAUUCAUGAGCAUUUUGGUGCUGUUCAGGCAAGAACUGAUUUUAAAGUUCCUUUAAAAAGAAACACAUAUAAGACUUAACCAGCAGAGACAUCGAGAGUGAUUGCAGUGGAGCUUAGGUCUAACAUUGUGAAAGGUGUUCAUACAGCGUUGGUUUAAUGGGGCAUCGUGCAUAGAUAACUGAGGUAUUAAAACACCUGCAAGAGUGAUUGUUCUGUAGGGCUGGAAUAUUCAGUUACAUUCUUGGAAGUUUCUAUCUUCAUCACGUGAAACACUUGUCUGCUGUUCUCCAUCUUCUUUGGCAGCAACUGGAGGCCAUGUGGUGGUUGUUAAAAGAGUCGCAUUAUCCUCACAAAGGGGUUUUACGGACUUCCUCAGGCAGAGAACUUCUGAGAACACAGGCAGGAUGGAAAAAGACUGCUAGCCACUUUUACCUUCCCGGUUCCUCCUCGCCCCCAUCCUUCAUGCCUUUCUAGCUUCUCUCUCCUGGCAUAAUACCAAUUUGGGCCUGUGCCCCAGUCUGGAGCAAAACAUUGCCUGUCCCCUUCUGAUAAACUUCAGAAUUUGAGAGAAGUUAAUCUGGAACAAAAGUUUUCACCAUCUCUCAAGCCCCAUGGACUGGAGCCACCUCUGGAAUAAUGUGUUAAAUAUCUGUAUAUUAUAUAUAUGUAGAGAAAAAUCUAAUUUUUUGUUUGACUUUCCUCCUUCCCAUUAAGAAUCUUGGUUUUUAAUAUCACUUGUCUCCCUGGGACUCUCUUGGACAUGAGCUGGUGUGUAUUAGCACUCCUUUACUUCCAUCUUCUAGAGGCAGAUUUGAAACCUGAGCAGGAAGGAUCACGUCUAGCAGUUACAGAACAGGGACUCUGUCCAUGGUUUGUAUCUUGGGGUGCCCACUGAAGUCUGAACUCUGCUCUCCUAAUUACCCGACUCUUGAAAAUGAAAUCCUAAACUCUUUCCUGCCUCUUUUCUGUCUUUUGUUAGGAAGAGUAUGGGUAGAAAAUCAGGAGGGUAAUUUCCUAUUUACUCCUGCCUCUGUCCAGCACGUAGGCUAAAUCCCAAAAGAACUUUCUUCCUAGGGAUGUGGGCUAAAAGCACUGUCAAGUGGGGUGGAUCAGAGAACUGAGCCUGUUGGGACCUGGCUUCCUUCUUAUUGUAUGUUCUAUAUUUGUUUCAGUUGUCUUGUUCAGAAAUCUCCCCUGGGGAACCCACCCUUGGUUGAGGAUCACAAAUUGAGGUGCCUUCCUUGUAUGCUUUUUGUUAGUGUUUUUUGUUUUUGUUCCUUAACUGCUGAGCCUCAGCCAGUGUGGGUCCUGGGGGGAAAUAUCAUUCCAGAGGAAGCCAUCCCUCCGGGAAAUUGGAUUUUAUGGGUAAAUUAAUUAGUACUUUAAUCCUUCCCCACUAUCCCUCCUUGCUGUGAUAGACAUGAGAGAGGAGUGACUGACCGCUGGAGGAGUGUCCUCCUUUCUAAGAAUGCUUUUCCCAGCACAAGCCAGAGGUUAUGCUGGGGCUUCUUCCAAGGAGGCCCAUGGAAGCAGGAACUUCAUCUGGGGCUUUGGAUAGAGUGUGAAUUCCCCAGCUAAACUGAACUUCCUGCUUUAUCCCCCUUUUCCUCCUUUACCAUCUGCACUACAUUUCUGAAUUGAUCCCCAGAUUCCUGCUAAUGGAAGCAGCUUAGAGUCCUUCAGGUGGAAUAAAGUCACAUGAAAAUGAAACAAAACUAUAUAUAUUUUCAGUUUUUUUGCCUUAUUGCUUUUUUUCCAAAAAAAAGUACUAAAUUAAAUAAUUUUUUUAAAAGCCAUA
Molecule: long non-coding RNA, 18518 nt
Filed under: Marmota monax (woodchuck)
Lineage: Eukaryota; Metazoa; Chordata; Mammalia; Rodentia; Sciuridae
Source: RNAcentral